GGCGCUAUGGUCAAGUGGUCAAGACACGGUGCUUUCACCACCGAAUCGGCGGGUUCAACUCCCCCUAGCGUCACCA
This 76-nucleotide transfer RNA is filed under the name Paenibacillus xylanexedens. RNAcentral's name for it is "tRNA-Glu". It matches the Rfam family "tRNA". Rfam says of the family: Transfer RNA (tRNA) molecules are approximately 80 nucleotides in length. Their secondary structure includes four short double-helical elements and three loops (D, anti-codon, and T loops). Further hydrogen bonds mediate the characteristic L-shaped molecular structure. tRNAs have two regions of fundamental functional importance: the anti-codon, which is responsible for specific mRNA codon recognition, and the 3' end, to which the tRNAs corresponding amino acid is attached (by aminoacyl-tRNA synthetases). tRNAs cope with the degeneracy of the genetic code in two manners: having more than one tRNA (with a specific anti-codon) for a particular amino acid; and 'wobble' base-pairing, i.e. permitting non-standard base-pairing at the 3rd anti-codon position. Lineage: Bacteria; Bacillati; Bacillota; Bacilli; Caryophanales; Paenibacillaceae. The record is from RNAcentral.